GACGUCACAAGGGUGGGCCUUGAGGCGACGUCACAGGCGCGGGCGUUCGGCUGCGUCACGGAGUUGGUAGUGUCACUAGCUGAGCAGUUUUCUCCUGAGAGUGGAGCAUGGUAACCGCGACCUCCUCUCCAGGUCCUGUGUGUUGCUGGAGAAGGGUAGUUGACAAACUCAACCCAGCGCAGUGUUUAUAUCGGUCAGAAAUACAAAACUAUGUCCAGGCGCGACCAAGGCGGGAGGAUCCCUUCAGGCCACGAGCAGUCUAGCAACAUGGCGCGACCCUGUCUCAGUAGUCCUACCUCAGCUCCCCAGCUACUUGAACCCCAAGGUUCGGGGCUCCAAUGAGCUAUGGUCCCACCACAGCAUUCCAGCCUGCGAGACUGAGAUGAUGAUGAUUCUCCACCUUCUAAGAGACCAAAGACCAUUGAGACACCACAGCCACCAGUCUCGUAACCUGCCAAUGCUGGGCAACAGAAAGUGAGGGAGUUCAACUCUGGCCCUCACAAUCCAGUGGAGGAGACGAAACCCAUCUGCCUCUGUCCCUCUGGGCGCACCUCAUGCCAGGUGCAUCUGUGGACCUGGGCCAUGCUCCUGGGCUUCCGAAGUUGGAGAAAGCUGCCAGGCUCAGUUCUGAAGACCAGAAUUCUAAAGUAAGUCCCACUGAAGCAAGGUGGGAGCAGGGUUGUUGCCUUCCGAGGCUCUGCGGGAGAAUCUGUCUCCUGGCCCUGGAGGUGGCCUGCACUUCUCAGCUUGUGCUGCACGUCCUGAAUGACUGGAGUUUCCUGCUUCCGUCACUACACCUCCCACCCUCUCCAUCACCUUCUCUGCUCUUAUAAGGAUCCGGAGAAAUGGAAUAAUCGUAUUGCUGAUCUACAUAAGCAAGUUGAAGAAUUGUCUGAAAGAAAAUAUGGUAUGUCUAAACUGGAAAAGUCCUGUAAUCCUGUGUUCAUGAGCAUUUACACAGUGGAGUUACUCUUCAUCAUGGGGGUACCGUGGACAGGCCCAGGGCUGCCGGUGAGUCAUGCCUCCUUACACAUUUCUCCUUGUCAGAGAUGAACUCAUGAAUUCAACAGGUGAAGAUUUACAACUUGAUAAAUCAGCUUUGUCAGAGCCACCUAAGCUAAAGAUUCCCUUGAGAACAAGUACUGUCCUGUGGUUUCAUGGCCUUUCUUCCAUUUGUGGUUCUUGCCAAGUGGAAUUUCAAUGACAUCUUAUCAAGAUGGAUAAACCCAAGUUUCCCAGUGCUGGAAUAGAGAAAAUGGAUGGACAAGUAAGUCCCACUCAGCACCCAUAG
Molecule: long non-coding RNA, 1291 nt
Organism: Mandrillus leucophaeus (drill)
Lineage: Eukaryota; Metazoa; Chordata; Mammalia; Primates; Cercopithecidae
Exons: 7
Source: RefSeq, a predicted model, not a curated record